GCCACUUUAGCUCAGUUGGUAGAGCAACUGAUUUGUAAUCAGUAGGUCGCUGGUUCGAAUCCGGCAAGUGGCU
This 73-nucleotide transfer RNA is filed under the name Taibaiella chishuiensis. It matches the Rfam family "tRNA". From Rfam's summary of the family: Transfer RNA (tRNA) molecules are approximately 80 nucleotides in length. Their secondary structure includes four short double-helical elements and three loops (D, anti-codon, and T loops). Lineage: Bacteria; Pseudomonadati; Bacteroidota; Chitinophagia; Chitinophagales; Chitinophagaceae. The record is from Rfam by way of RNAcentral.